GAUGAACGCUGGCGGCGUGCCUAAUACAUGCAAGUCGAGCGAACGGACGAGAAGCUUGCUUCUCUGAUGUUAGCGGCGGACGGGUGAGUAACACGUGGAUAACCUACCUAUAAGACUGGGAUAACUUCGGGAAACCGGAGCUAAUACCGGAUAAUAUUUUGAACCGCAUGGUUCAAAGGUGAAAGACGGUCUUGCUGUCACUUAUAGAUGGAUCCGCGCUGCAUUAGCUAGUUGGUAAGGUAACGGCUUACCAAGGCAACGAUGCAUAGCCGACCUGAGAGGGUGAUCGGCCACACUGGAACUGAGACACGGUCCAGACUCCUACGGGAGGCAGCAGUAGGGAAUCUUCCGCAAUGGGCGAAAGCCUGACGGAGCAACGCCGCGUGAGUGAUGAAGGUCUUCGGAUCGUAAAACUCUGUUAUUAGGGAAGAACAUAUGUGUAAGUAACUGUGCACAUCUUGACGGUACCUAAGCAGAAAGCCACGGCUAACUACGU
Molecule: ribosomal RNA, 496 nt
Filed under: uncultured bacterium
Lineage: Bacteria
Description: partial 16S ribosomal RNA
Rfam family: Bacterial small subunit ribosomal RNA
Source: RNAcentral